This 557-nucleotide ribosomal RNA is filed under the name uncultured bacterium. RNAcentral's name for it is "partial 16S ribosomal RNA". It matches the Rfam family "Bacterial small subunit ribosomal RNA", at positions 355 to 905 of the family's 1533-position model. The record is from RNAcentral.
UGGGGAAUUUUGGACAAUGGGCGAAAGCCUGAUCCAGCAAUGCCGCGUGUGUGAAGAAGGCCUUCGGGUUGUAAAGCACUUUUGUCCGGAAAGAAAUCCUCUGGGUUAAUACCUCGGGGGGAUGACGGUACCGGAAGAAUAAGCACCGGCUAACUACGUGCCAGCAGCCGCGGUAAUACGUAGGGUGCAAGCGUUAAUCGGAAUUACUGGGCGUAAAGCGUGCGCAGGCGGUUUUGUAAGACGGAUGUGAAAUCCCCGGGCUUAACCUGGGAACUGCAUUCGUGACUGCAAGGCUAGAGUAUGGCAGAGGGGGGUAGAAUUCCACGUGUAGCAGUGAAAUGCGUAGAGAUGUGGAGGAAUACCGAUGGCGAAGGCAGCCCCCUGGGCCAAUACUGACGCUCAUGCACGAAAGCGUGGGGAGCAAACAGGAUUAGAUACCCUGGUAGUCCACGCCCUAAACGAUGUCAACUAGCUGUUGGGGUUUAUUAACCUUAGUAGCGCAGCUAACGCGUGAAGUUGACCGCCUGGGGAGUACGGUCGCAAGAUUAAAACUCAAA